CAGUAACUCCACCGCCUUGGUCCCUUCUUCUUUCUUCUUCUCGCCGUUAUUCCAGAGAAGUGAAAUGUGUUUUCUAAGCAGAUCUAAUAUGGUGAUAGAGGUUGAUAAUAUUAUGGGCUCAAGUAGGGUUGAUGAAGAUGCUGAACCCGUUUUACUGUAUGGACACAGUGGAAGCCUGUUGUUUGUGUAAGUUGGGUUCGACCUGAUCUAUGUGUUGAAGCAGAUGAGUCACUGCCAAAGGGUUAAUAUGUUCUUCCAUUCUCAUGCACUAUUUGUUUCAGAUUUAUGGUAAUUGCAUUGAUAAAUGAUGAAACUGAUGAGGCAUCAGCCAUCAUAAAGGGGAAUUUGGUGCCACAUGUGAGGGUCACAUCCUCAACAAAAAUCAUGACAAUUCAAAUAUACUACCACCAGAAAUUCUCCAAACAGAGAGACAAAUCAAACUGCUGGAACUCGAAAUAGGCACUGCACAAAAUGUGAUUGUCAAGGGAAUCCAUGAAGAUAUACACGCACUCACUCCAACACAGAGAAUUCAGCCCUCAAGCUCAACACCCGACAACAUCCAGCCCUCAAGCUCAACACCCGACGAAGUUGGAACAACAACAAAAAAAGGAACAUUCAAUCAUCUGGCAAGCAACUUUCGAAAACUAUAUCCAAGCAAAAAUCUGAAAACGGGCGACAUCUCUACAGAUUCACUUGAAGACUCAUCCGAAGACUUAAUGUAAAUAGUUACCAGCCUAGACAUGUUUUGGCCAAGCCUAACCAUUUUUUGCAAAAUGUACAUAAACAACUACUUGGUUGGCAUAUGUAUUUUUGGAAAUCUGGCUAAGAUACCAGAUUUGGAAUCUGGCAAAGGCACCAGAUUUUUGGGACAACUAAACAUUAUACACUCAUUUUGGUAUGUAAUAUAUUUAUAACGUAGUUUCAUGUAAAUUUAACCAUAUAAAUAGUAUACCCGAAGCACCGCGCGGGC
Rosa rugosa (rugosa rose) is the source of this 970-nucleotide long non-coding RNA. RefSeq lists it as uncharacterized. The transcript is spliced from 4 exons. NCBI's taxonomy places the organism in Eukaryota, Viridiplantae, Streptophyta, Magnoliopsida, Rosales, Rosaceae. The record is from RefSeq and is a predicted model, not a curated record.